RNAcentral lists this ribosomal RNA (460 nucleotides) under uncultured bacterium. RNAcentral's name for it is "partial 16S ribosomal RNA". It matches the Rfam family "Bacterial small subunit ribosomal RNA", at positions 338 to 795 of the family's 1533-position model. The record is from RNAcentral.
CCUACGGGAGGCAGCAGUGAGGAAUAUUGGUCAAUGGCCGGAAGGCUGAACCAGCCAUGCCGCGUGAAGGUCAGUGCCCUAUGGGCGUUAAACUUCUUUUGUGCGGGAGCAAUAAUGGUCACGUGUGGCCAGACGAGAGUACCGUACGAAUAAGCAUCGGCUAACUCCGUGCCAGCAGCCGCGGUAAUACGGGGGAUGCAAGCGUUAUCCGGAUUUAUUGGGUUUAAAGGGUGCGUAGGCUGGUAGGUAAGUCAGCGGUGAAAUGCCCCCGCGCAACGGGGUGAAGUGCCAUUGAUACUGCCUUGCUGGAAUGCGGAUGCCGUGGGAGGAAUGUGUGGUGUAGCGGUGAAAGGCAUAGAUAUCACACAGAACACCGAUUGCGAAGGCAUCUCACGAACCCGCGAUUGACGCUGAUGCACGAAAGCGUGGGUAUCAAACAGGAUUAGAUACCCUUGUAGUC